RNA transcript from Platichthys flesus (European flounder), 688 nucleotides. It is a transcript of the gene named pancreatic progenitor cell differentiation and proliferation factor a, with no coding region annotated. Lineage: Eukaryota; Metazoa; Chordata; Actinopteri; Pleuronectiformes; Pleuronectidae. The record is from RefSeq and is a predicted model, not a curated record. The transcript has 6 exons.
AGCUGAGUCAGUGACACCAGCAGCUCUUUGACCAGCAGCCUGUUCACCAGCAGCUCUUUGACCAGCAGCCUGUUCACCAGCAGCCUGUCGACUGGUUCUCUCUCAUCCACUGAUCAGCCUCAGUCCCAACCUGCAGCUCCUGAGAACCUGGUUCCAGCAGCAGCAUCUCACAGGUCUCCAUUUUCCAUCUUUGAUCGGUUUUCCACCUGAAGUCGGAGAAAAUGGCCUCAAUCCCAUCAACUGGUUCUCUCAUCGCCACCCACGACUACUACAGAAGACGAAUCGGCUCCACCUCCAGCAACAGCUCCUGUGGCAGCGCCGAGCACACGGGGGAGGUCAUUCCACACCACCCAGGACUUCCAAGGCAAGACUCCGGCCACUGGUGGACUUCGUUUUUCUUCGCAAAGCAGAACCAGCCCGGCAUGCAGAACGGAUCCGAGAGUCAAAAGAACAAAACCUACACAGUGGCCGACGGUCAGGUGACCUGCAUCGCCCGGGAAAUGGUUCUGAACAGACAACUCAGCGAAAGCAGCGAAUACGGAAAGUCAACGACUCCAGCUUCCUCCUAGUACAUCCUCCCGCCCUGUGACCUCCGACCCCUGAGCUCCUUCACCCUCAGCUCCUUCACCCUCAGCUCCUCACCCUCAGCUCCUUCACCCUCAUCCCCUUCAUCCUCAGCACCUUCACC